AGUGAACGCUGGCGGUAGGCCUAACACAUGCAAGUCGAACGGCAGCACAGUAAGAGCUUGCUCUUACGGGUGGCGAGUGGCGGACGGGUGAGGAAUACAUCGGAAUCUACUUUUUCGUGGGGGAUAACGUAGGGAAACUUACGCUAAUACCGCAUACGACCUACGGGUGAAAGCAGGGGAUCUUCGGACCUUGCGCGAUUGAAUGAGCCGAUGUCGGAUUAGCUAGUUGGCGGGGUAAAGGCCCACCAAGGCGACGAUCCGUAGCUGGUCUGAGAGGAUGAUCAGCCACACUGGAACUGAGACACGGUCCAGACUCCUACGGGAGGCAGCAGUGGGGAAUAUUGGACAAUGGGCUCAAUCCUGAUCCAGCCAUACCGCGUGGGUGAAGAAGGCCUUCGGGUUGUAAAGCCCUUUUGUUGGGAAAGAAAAGCAGCAGGUUAAUACCCCGCUGUUCUGACGGUACCCAAAGAAUAAGCACCGGCUAACUUCGUG
RNAcentral lists this ribosomal RNA (492 nucleotides) under uncultured bacterium. RNAcentral describes it as "partial 16S ribosomal RNA". It matches the Rfam family "Bacterial small subunit ribosomal RNA", at positions 29 to 507 of the family's 1533-position model. The record is from RNAcentral.